UACGUAGGGUGCAAGCGUUAAUCGGAAUUACUGGGCGUAAAGCGUGCGCAGGCGGUUUUGUAAGUCUGUCGUGGAAUCCCCGGGCUCAACCUGGGAAUUGCGAUGGAGACUGCAAGGCUAGAAUCUGGCAGAGGGGGGUAGAAUUCCACGUGUAGCAGUGAAAUGCGUAGAUAUGUGGAGGAACACCGAUGGCGAAGGCAGCCCCCUGGGUCAAGAUUGACGCUCAUGCACGAAAGCGUGGGGAGCAAACAGG
RNAcentral lists this ribosomal RNA (253 nucleotides) under uncultured bacterium. RNAcentral describes it as "partial 16S ribosomal RNA". It matches the Rfam family "Bacterial small subunit ribosomal RNA", at positions 524 to 776 of the family's 1533-position model. The record is from RNAcentral.